UACGGAGGAUGCAAGCGUUAUCCGGAUUUAUUGGGUUUAAAGGGUGCGCAGGUUGUUUGAUAAGUCAGUGGUGAAAGUCUGUCGCUUAACGGUAGGAUUGCCAUUGAUACUGUUAGACUUGAAUAUGGAUGAGGUAGGCGGAAUGUGUAGUGUAGCGGUGAAAUGCAUAGAUAUUACACAGAACACCGAUUGCGAAGGCAGCUUACUAAUCCAUCAUUGACGCUGAGGCACGAAAGCGUGGGUAGCGAACAGGA
Molecule: ribosomal RNA, 254 nt
Filed under: uncultured prokaryote
Description: partial 16S ribosomal RNA
Rfam family: Bacterial small subunit ribosomal RNA
Source: RNAcentral